RNA transcript from Setaria italica (foxtail millet), 1718 nucleotides. It is a transcript of the gene named D-galacturonate reductase, with no coding region annotated. The record is from RefSeq and is a predicted model, not a curated record. The transcript is spliced from 6 exons. Lineage: Eukaryota; Viridiplantae; Streptophyta; Magnoliopsida; Poales; Poaceae.
GCCAACGCACAACCCUAGUGUCUAGUGAGCAACAGCGGCCGCCGGCGAGACACCUGCGCGCGGCGGGGAGUGGGAAGGCAGGCGCCGGGCACCUGAAACCAGCGGUGGCAGGUUCGUGUCAGUGCGGCACCAUUAAGCAGCUGCCGCAGGCAGUCGGCGCCACCGCAGCACCGGGCAGGUCGAGGCGAGGACUGAGCAGUUUUAUGUAGGUUCCUUAUGCAUAUCCUGAAUUUGAGUCCUGCGUACGCUGUCUAUACCACCCCUGCCACACCACUCAAGCACAGAGAACCACACAAACAGCAGGCCAUGGCAUCACUGGCGGGAAGGAGCAGCAUCCGCCACUCCAAGAUUCCAGAGUUCUUGGUGGGCCCUAGUGGGCAACCGAUGCCAGCAGUAGGGCUUGGCACGGUGUCGCACCCAUUCGUGGAGGACGAAGUUAGGGCCGCUGUGCUCACCGCGCUGGAGCUCGGCUACCGUCACAUCGAUACCGCAGCGCUGUAUGCCUCUGAGCGGGUUGUCGGCGAGGCCAUGGCUGAGGCAUUGCAGUCUGGGAUUGUGGCAUCUAGGGAGGAGCUGUUUGUGACGAGCAAGGUGUGGUGCACACAGUGCCACCCUGAGCUCGUGCUCCCAUCCCUUAAGGAGAGCUUGCAGAACCUUCAAAUGGAAUAUGUUGAUUUGUACCUGAUUCAUUGGCCCAUGGCUGUAAAGCCUAGCAAGCCUCAUUUCCCAAUGAAAAGGGAGGACAUUCUGCCGAUGGACCUGAGUGGUGUAUGGCAGGCUAUGGAGGAAUGUCAUCGGCUUGGCCUUGCUAAAAUGAUUGGUGUUAGCAAUUUCACAACAAAGAAGCUGCAGGAGCUGCUUUCCAUUGCAAAAAUACCUCCAGCAGUAAAUCAGGUUGAAUUGAAUCCGACUUGGCAGCAGAAAAAACUAAUUGAGUUCUGCAAAGAUAAGAGUAUUCAGGUGGCUGCUUAUUCUCCCCUGGGAGGCCAAAGAAUACCUAAAAUGAAUCCAGUACGACAAUCUGAUGUUCUGGAAGAGAUUGGAAGGACCAGAGGGAAGUCAGUGGCUCAGAUUUCACUGAGAUGGAUCUACGAGCAAGGUGCAAGCAUGGUGGUGAAGAGCUUGAAAAGAGAAAGGCUUAAGGAGAACAUCGAGAUUUUCGAUUGGGAAUUGAGUGAUGGAGACCGGUCGAAGAUUGGUCAGAUACCACAGCGCAAGUUGAUCACAGUACAGAAUCUUCUCUGCCCUGAAGGCAUCUCCAGUGUGGAUAUCUCGGAUGUUGAUGUUUUUGAAAUGUAGCUGUGAUCUCCGAAUAUUUGUGGUGGAUGAAGAAUUUAGUGUAUAGCAGGUUUAUACGUCAGAAGCAGAACACACUAUAGCGGGUGUCUUAGUUCGCGGUGAAGAGGCGCAAGGAGAAAUUCGCAUGGUUUAGUGCACAAGGGUUACUGGCUAACCAGUUGACACAUAAAUGACUGUCUACGGGUGAUGGAGCAAUCUUUCACAAGAACCUAAGCGCAGACUGAACGAGCAAAUUUGAAAAAGAAAAGGAGAUGAGGAGAUACUGCCUUUCCAUUUUGUUGUGCUUUUUAUGCGCGCUUCGUCUUCGUUUAUCGAUCCUGUGUUCUAGAUGUCCCCCUAGCACUGACCUGUCAGAAACGUGGAAAAAAGAUAGAAGUAUUUUCUGUUGAAUGCUUGCAAUGCAAUGCACCCCCUCCGAC